Long non-coding RNA from Mercenaria mercenaria, 2038 nucleotides. RefSeq lists it as uncharacterized. The record is from RefSeq and is a predicted model, not a curated record. Lineage: Eukaryota; Metazoa; Mollusca; Bivalvia; Venerida; Veneridae. The transcript is spliced from 3 exons.
AGAGCAACAUGUCCAGGCCUGCUAAAUAUUUACAAGCAUAGACUGAAGAAGUGUGAAGCAUACUGAAGUGAUGUGUGUGUGUUCCACAGCAAUAAAUUAUGGAAAGAAAAGCAGAGCACUACAGUGACUUGCACAGGCCAAGAUGUCUCAAGUUGUACAUUCAAAAAGAAGUGAUGGGUGACAGGCUUUUACUAGCAACUUGUGAAGAAAAAUCAGGUAGCUAGAGCAGAGACCAGAUGCUGCGAUUGAUGCAAACAGAGAUAGACGUUUUACAAUUGAAAUGAUAGACUCUGAUAUUUGCAUGUAUUGUUUUGUAUGAUGAACUUUGUCCGUGCAAGUGGCUAUGCCCGUAAAAGAGGCACACUUUUGCUUAUUGUGUUUGUUAUCUUUCAAUAUAUAAAGUAAUGGUAAAGGUCUCCGAGAUGAAGGUUUAGUGUUGUUUGUCUGUAUUAUAAGAGUCUAGUAGCCUGACUUGUCUGUCCGCUAUCAAUACUUUGCCAGCUUGUUUGCUAAGUAUGCUAUCCCAAUGAAAUGUUAAGAGACACUGGCAUUCACCAGUGUGAGUAAACAUGUUCACUCAUGCUGGUAGUGCCUUUGCUUAUUAUGUGUACUUGGCAGACCGGUAUGGUAUAUCACAUCUCGGAGAUCAAGCAAGGGUCGUUGGUAAAGGUAAAAUGAGACGUGUUAUACUAUUUAACUAUACUUAUGAGAUACUUUAUAAGGUAGAUGGUCCUUCAAAAUUUCAACACUUUGAACAACAAAAUUCUUGAUUUCUGACUGAUCAUUUUUCUUGAACGUCUCAUUUUAUCUUUGUCACUGUGUCCUUUAUAUCCAACCACAGGCGACUGCAUAGAAAUUGCAGUCAAAUCUCUGGUACUCUUGGUAUUGAAAAUAUAUAGCAUUUACAAAGUAUAGUCUCAUGCGAUAACUUGAACAUUAUGUAAAACCAUUACAAAAUCCUAGAGAUGUCUCUUAUCAAACUAUCAAGUAAGCUGUAAUGCAAAAUCAUUACAAGACUAGUAUCAAGCUAUCGGAAUGUCAAAACAUGACCAUAAGGCUAUAUCAGAGAUUUGAAAUGCUUUUCGAUGCAAUAGUAUGAUGUUGGAAAUUUAUCCUACAUCCAACCGUAAUCCUACAUGAUGGUAUAAUUGUAUCAUAGUCCUUACCUGAUGUUGAGCAUUUUUUCCUCCCUUGUUUGGAUUUCUGAUCGGCAUGGGUUAAGUGUAAUGCUGGUUGUAAUGACCCAACUCUAUAUUUGGCGAGGCAGCGAAGCCGGUACAGGGAAUUGCUUAACCCGACGCUGCGAGGAUUCAUGGACAGGGAUUAAAUGCUCUUGCCCCGCCAAAGGGAAGCACGACGUUCCUCUAAUGAGAUGUGCGAAUACACUCUUUGGUUGCCUAACUGUCCGGACGCCGCAGUUAGAUGUACGGGGAAGGGCAUCGAAUGUCUAUCCAUGCUACCGAUCCCUAACAUUGUUUGAUCUGGCAAUGAAAUCAUAUUACACUAUAUAAUGUUGGAAUUUUGUCCUGAUGCGUCACAGGAUAGUAAUUAUUUUUCUCACUAUCCUGUUGCUAAAUCAGUAGGAAAACAAACAACAUGAUAAUGGAAUUUUGUCCCGAUGCAUUUUUUCUCCUACAAUCCGUGAAAUUGCCAUCAAUGCAAAAGGUCACUAUGCUUUUCUCCUAAUACCCUUCAGUAGGAUAAAACAACAUGAUGCAUAACAUGAUGUUGAACAUUUUCUCCUACAUUGUUUUCAUCAAACGUACGUAGUCUUUAGCAUCUGGUAGGAGAAACUUCUCCUGGAUGUCAAAGUAAUUGUAUCCUUGUAUGCCCAUUGCCUUUGCAUUACAGAACAAAUUUGACAAAACAGUCAAGCUGAUACAUGAUAGCGUCAGAUAUGAUUUUGUCCUCCUAUUACAACAUGAUGAUACAUUUGGAAUGUCAAAUGUAUUGCAUUGAACCCAGCCUUUAGGAUCUGAUAGGAGAAACUUCUCCUGAAUGAGAAAGCAAUUGUAUCCUUGUAUGUCCAUUACCUUUG